CAAACACUUAGAGUUAAUAUUAUACUUCUAUUAAGUAUAAAAUAAGUUUUUGUGGUAUCCACUAGUGUAAAUAAUUUAAAUUAAAGAUCAAAUUUAUUCAUUACAUUCUUAUAGGGUCGAGGAGUGUAUCUGUAAAAAAUCAUCAAAUCGGAGCUAAAAUAACCGUUAAAUUGUGAUUUUUCGUUUAUCACUGUCGAAAACUUUUGUUCCGUUACGUAAUCUCUGAAUGUUUGUUUUUUAUGAUUUUUUACGUAUGCGAUCUCGGAAUGUGUACAAAUAAAUUUGACGGUUGGAUCGUUGAAAAAAGUUUUGUAGAAUGCAUAUUGCGUCAAAACAGUAGAUUAAACAAACACUUAGAGUUAAUAUUAUACUUCUAUUAAGUAUAAAAUAAGUUUUGUGGUAUCCACUAGUGUAAAUACUUUAAAUUAAAGAUCAAAUUUAUUCAUUACAUU
This 452-nucleotide long non-coding RNA is filed under the name Malus domestica (apple). RNAcentral's name for it is "long non-coding RNA (MDOM_LNC000422)". The record is from RNAcentral. Lineage: Eukaryota; Viridiplantae; Streptophyta; Magnoliopsida; Rosales; Rosaceae.